CUUUGGCAGUAUUUCCGACAACAUAUCUCUUACGAGUUGACUUGUUUCUAGAAGAACAUUAUUUAUUUUUACUGUACGGUUAUGUUAAAAAAAGCUUAUUAAAAUAUAUUUACAUUAAUAAAAUGAUAAUAUUUUAUUUUCAUAGUAUUUAAAACAAUUUUUGUUUCUGCUGUGGCAAUAAUGCUGAUUUUUUGUUUGUUUAAACUUGUUUGAAGAAUUUGACUUUUGGUUAUCUGCAGAUAAUGAUUAGCUUAUUUUAGUAAUAUUUGAAGAACAUUUUAUUAUAUUUAUAAUUACUUGAUCCUAGUUACUUGGUGACAGUCGUCUAUUGGAUGUAAUACACGUGGAAGAGAGAAAAUAAUGGAUAGUAAAGAGGAUCAUGAUUAUCAUGCCCGUAGAAGAUACAAGUGCUCUUCUAAAAAUGCUAUAGUGGCACGCCAAAACAGGAUUAAAAAGAAAGAAUAUUUAAAAUCUUUGGAAGAAAAACUUUCACAGCUGUCUAGUGAAAAUGCUGAUCUGCGGCUGAGACUUGAUAAAAACGAUAAGGAGUUGCAAGAAAUCCGACUUGAGAACAAGUACUUGCGUAGUGUAUUUGCCAACAGAAAAGAAAUAGAAAAACUAUUAAGAGUUGUUAAAAUUGGUACUGGAUUGGAUGUAACAACUUCGUUAAAACAGCGUUCAAGGGUGUCGUCUCCACCUGCAAGGCAGAUUCGCGUCAGUGAUCGGAAGGCUUGCAGACUUCGCCUUCCGAUAGAUGCUGACCAAAAGUCGAGAUGUGUGUAAUCACCAUUCUUGCUGUUCCCCAGCAGGUUAAGUAUAACUUCAUGGUCUGUAAUUUUUAUGCAUCUAUUUUUUUUAUAAAUGUCUUAGAAACUAUUACUUAUCUCUAAAAUACAUAUUUAAUGGAAUUAACUUUGUAGUACUCUAAUUUGGUACAUGUGGCAGUUUCGAGCACUUAGUGUGGAAAACUAAUGCAUGUAAACAAAAUGCAGACAUUAUUAUAGUGUAUGCAAAAGCACAGAAUAAAUUUCACCAACUACUGGACCCAAAAGUGUUGUAUUCUAAACCUUCAUGUUGAAAAGUUGGAUUGGUGUUGCAUAAUAUGACGUGAUGAGUGACUUUGUUAUAAUAUGUUUAUGAGUAUGAAAAAUAAUGUCAGGAAUCAAUAAUGGUGACCUAAUGCUCUGAUAAUAAUUGUUUGUUGCAUUCCUGGUUCUGUUAACAUACAAGUUUCUGGAAUUUCUACUGAACAUGAGAAAAACAAUUUUUUAUGUAUUUAAAUUAAAAUACCACUAUCUAAAUUUUCAAAAUUUAGCAAAGUACAUGUUUUUAUUUUUUAUUUUUAAAAGUAAACAUUCCUUUGAUAUUUCAAGCUCUUUAUAGUUGCGUUAAGCUAGUUCCGUACACAUAGUAAAUUGUGAUAAUAUUAAAUGCUGAUUCAUUAUUUUAACUUUAUUCCUUUAUUAUGUAUAGCUACAUUUUACACCAUUUGUUGUUGGUACACAGUCUUCUUUACAUUUUAGUUGACUACUUAAGUGAUUGAAAGUAGGGGAAAGAAGAUAAAUAUGUUUGUAGCCAUCUGCAUUUAAUUCAUUGCUUGAAAUUGCUGCAGAUGUUUGAACAAAUCUUGAAAAAAAAUUUUGCAUAACAGACUUUUAUAUCUAAAGUAAUGCUAAGUGUAUUUUCGAUUAAGUUAAUUUAUGCUUUUUCCUAUACAGUAUUUUAAUUAUUCAGUUUAAGGCUAAUGGCUUCACUGAAGUUGGAAGUUUGUUUACAAAUUUUCUAUGCUAUUAAAUUUAAAUUUGUGAGAGCUAAACAUCAAACCAUUGUACUUGUACGUGCCUGUUAUGAAGUUCAGGUAAGGGAUAAUCUGGUUGAAAGGAUGUGACCUAAUGUAAAAUACAUCCUAACACCAGCAUAAUAUUAAGUAAAAAUUCUUUACGUCAAUAAUACAUGCCAUGCAACAAUUUUUCUGCAUUUUGUUUAUUUAUUUAUUUAUUUUUAAUUUGCUCAUAAUUCGAUAAGUUGACUAAGUCGGUUAAGAGUGUUGUAGGUACAUUUGAGUUUACAAUAUAUAUUUUUUUUAUUUUCAUUGGCAUUUGUUUUGGCCUGUAUUGUUCAGAUGGUUAUGAAGUAAUACAGUUACAUACAAUCAAAUGGAUCUUUAAUGUAUUGAUGGGCUGGCCGUAUUUCAAAAGUUACAACUUAUGCAGUAUUUGUUGAAAUUUUUAGCUAUGAACUUGGUACUGAGCAAAUUAUUUUACUUUUCAGCUAGGAGAUGUGGCAACUGUUGAAGUUGGAAAGGUUUGUACUGUGGAUUCCAGGUAUUAAGUAAGAUAUUUAAGUUGAUUGUCAUUAGGUUGUGUAAAUUUAGUAUAAAAUGAUAAUGUACAUGUAUAAAAAAAAAGUUUGAAAUUAUAACUAUAUGGUUGAAUACA
Long non-coding RNA from Bacillus rossius redtenbacheri, 2438 nucleotides. RefSeq lists it as uncharacterized. The record is from RefSeq and is a predicted model, not a curated record. NCBI's taxonomy places the organism in Eukaryota, Metazoa, Arthropoda, Insecta, Phasmatodea, Bacillidae. The transcript has 3 exons.